This 120-nucleotide ribosomal RNA is filed under the name uncultured bacterium. Its description in RNAcentral is "partial 16S ribosomal RNA". It matches the Rfam family "Bacterial small subunit ribosomal RNA", at positions 1381 to 1500 of the family's 1533-position model. The record is from RNAcentral.
UUGUACACACCGCCCGUCAAACCAUGAGAGUUGGCAACACCCGAAGCCUGUAGCUUAACCGCAAGGACGGCGCAGUCGAAGGUGGGGUCGAUGAUUAGGGUUAAGUCGUAACAAGGUAGC